GACGUAGGGCGCGAGCGUUGUCCGGAUUUAUUGGGCGUAAAGAGCUCGUAGGCGGCUUGUUGCGUCGACCGUGAAAACCCGGGGCUCAACUUCGGGCUUGCGGUCGAUACGGGCGGUCUGGAGGCGGGUAGGGGCACGCGGAACUGUGGGUGGAGCGGUGAAAUGCGUUGAGAUCCACAGGAACUCCGGUGGCGAAGGCGGCGUGCUGGACCCGAUCUGACGCUGAGGCGCGAAAGCCAGGGGAGCGAACGGG
This 253-nucleotide ribosomal RNA is filed under the name uncultured bacterium. RNAcentral describes it as "partial 16S ribosomal RNA". It matches the Rfam family "Bacterial small subunit ribosomal RNA", at positions 524 to 776 of the family's 1533-position model. The record is from RNAcentral.